AUAUGGAUUCAGGUUAGCUUCCGCUCAUGUAGUUUAUGUAUCCGAAUUAUUCGAAAUGAAGGUUGUUAUGUUUAGUAGGAAUCAUAAUUUCUAACAAUAACUACUACUGACUUACUUCUCUAAUGAGUUUUCGAAAUACAUGGUAGGAAAUCAACUGAAACUAGCCCAAAUUGUUCGACUUAUCUAACGUGAGCUUGAUUACACCUAAUGUUCAUAUUAAAAGUCAUAUACAUUUGAGAUAUAGCUAUUCACAGUUCAAAACCACUCAAAAUGAUUUACAAUUCAUUUACACAACUCAGAUCAAGAUAAUAACUGAACAUGCUAUAUCAACCUAAUGCUAAAUAUUCAAAAGUCUUCAACAACUCAAACUAUAUUGAUUAUGCUGAACUAUUGAAAUGCAGCAGAUAAACAAAAUAUACUGUAGAGCAAAUUUCAACUUCAUUUCAUAUUUUGAUUGGGAGUUUACACAAUAAUUGCCUCAAAGAGUGUACCUGGAGAUUUGAAAUGACAAAGGAGAAGAGAGAGGUCAGCAAUAAGGCUGUAAUGAGCAGCAUCAAUGAACAACAGUGUUGAACAAAUAGGAAGCAAAUGACCAAAAUGCAUCCCAGAAUGGAAUUUAACAAUCAGUGAGUGUUUGAAGUUGAACAGGACUAACAAUUCAAUCCAAAAUCAACUUGAACAAGCGUCAACGACCUCAAAAUGACCCCAGGCCUUUUUAUAAUCAUAAUGAACCAGAAUUCAACUUAAACAAACAAAUUUCAAAUUCAAAUUCCAUCCAGAAACUUUAAAGCACCUCAAUUACUAAGAAAACUAGCAAGUAACCUAAUGUAACAAUGAUUUUUUGUGAUUUUCGAUUGCUUUUGUUGAACUUCUUUUUUUUUGGUUUUUUGGGAGAUUUUCUAUUAUUUUUUAUGUUUUGGAGUUUGAAUUUGAGAUCUUAGAUCUGAAAGUUUGGGUAAAUUUUUGGGUUCCCAAAACUUGUGUGUCAAGGCAUUAGUGAUGCCUUUUUAUAAGCCAAAAAGAGGGCAACCCUCAAAUCUUUCAUUUGCACUAUAAGUACCUAAUUUAGUCCCUCAGCUUCUAACUUAUUCCUCAAGUCACUAUCCUUAGAAGUACUAAAAUCUGAAUUCAACUCUAUUCUAGAAAGAUCUAGGAAAUACUAGCUAAAUCCACAACAUUUCAUCCAACUCCAAUUACCUAAACUACCCUGAAUUCAACUUAAAAUUACUGACCUCAGUUAACUAAACCAAACUAGACUAACUCUUCACAUUAAUAUUUAACUAAGGACUAUAGUUAAUCAAUAAUUCAAUCAAAGACAUACCAACCAAUUGCUACAUCUUAACACAAAUCAACCUGAACUUAUCAUCACCUAAUCAUUCAGAAGUGUUUAAACAAGAAAUUAAAAGUUCAUGGUAACCAGCCAGAAUCAAUAGAGCUAAUCAGACAUCAAUUACUGAACUACGAAUUAAUCUAAACCUAUAUUCUAAUAGAAUAGAGAACAAUUAUAUUGAGGCUAAACUAAAUUAAAAAUCAAAAUCACACAAAAGCAUACAACACUUAACUACUAAUGAAAAACAAAGAUCAAACUACUGAUGAUUGAGAUUUAAAGAAAACAAAAACUAAAAAAAAAUAAUGAACAUAAACAAACUCACUGAAUUAAUUUUAAGUUUGACACUCAAUUGUCUUCAAAGAGGUUCGAGGUGCAAUGAAGUCGAAUUCCUCAUGAAAGAAACAAGAAAACUACGGUGUGCUAAUUUGAAACCAAUGAACGAAUUGUGGUUUUGACUGAUUUUUGGGCUUUGAAAAUUCGAAGUGUUCAGUCACAAUUUGAGGCAGAUUAUUGAUGGAUUUGUGAUGAGGAGGUGAAGGAGGUUUGGUGGUGUAAAGUUAGGCCAGUUUGGGCGAUGUCACUACCAUGGAUGACGGAGACGAUGACACUUCUUUCAGUUAUUCGACGACCUCCAGCGGGAUUCGAAAGAAGAUAGUAGCAGAUUCAUGUCGGGGACAAUUGGGCGGUCUAAAUGUGUGACUUUGAGAGCCAUCGGAGAUGGUGGCAUUUUCUCCGGCGGCGAUGGAGACGGCGGCGUUACAGAGGGGUACGAGGAAGAAAGGCUGGUCUUUAGGGUUAGAGAGAAUUUCAGACUGUCUUAUUUUAAUUCAUAUCCCAUCAUGGGCCGUUGGAUAAAAGCAAUGGGCGGUCAAGAUUCAAGGACGCGGA
This 2218-nucleotide long non-coding RNA is filed under the name Nicotiana benthamiana. Its description in RNAcentral is "long non-coding RNA (NBEN_LNC020585)". The record is from RNAcentral. Lineage: Eukaryota; Viridiplantae; Streptophyta; Magnoliopsida; Solanales; Solanaceae.